Molecule: long non-coding RNA, 516 nt
Organism: Lycium ferocissimum
Lineage: Eukaryota; Viridiplantae; Streptophyta; Magnoliopsida; Solanales; Solanaceae
Exons: 3
Source: RefSeq, a predicted model, not a curated record
AAAGUUACCGACGAUCGUACGGUCACUAUUCUCCGGCGAUGUCUCUCCUCACUCCUCCACCGAUAGAUAUACUAAACAUCAGUUUAAUGCAAGUGAGGCUGACUGGGGCUGCACAUCAUUCAUGCCUCUUACUGAACUAAAUGAUCCCGGAAGAGGUUAUCUUGUGGAUGAUAAAGUCACAGUUGAAGCUUAUAUUGUCAUGCCUAAAAGUCAUUGAUUGCUGAAAGUUUUAAGUCACUGAUAGAUAGGCUAGGAGUACCAUCGCUCGGGCAUAGUUAUCGGGAGCAGAAUGGGGUAGCGGACUUGCUUGCGAAGGAAGAGCUUGAAAACAACUUAUUUGAUCAUUUUGUGUAUAUGCUAGUUCCUCCAGUGUCUGCUAUGGAAGCUUUAUUAGCUGAAGCAAACAAAUUAGCACCACUUUUGUGAGGCAGUUAUCGGAUAAUCCUACUACUUGAGUUUAUAACUGCUUCGUAUGAACUAUUGGUAUUUGGUCCACAGUGACCCCUUGUUUUGUUA